UGAGACGUUGAUGAUGCUCCUAUCACCAUGGUUAUGUGAUUGGGUAUAUCUUGCCCUCGGUCCUAACUGCCACUGUCUGUGCUGAGUUUUUCAAAGUUCAUAGCAGGUUGAACAUGCUUGCUGUCAUUUUCACAGAUUCUGGUCUUUCUUAUGGGGAACCUGAGUUCCUGCAUUAAAGUUCCCCCAGAAGAUCAAUGGAAGGUGGAUUCCAAAGAGUGGGCAAGUGAGGACCCCUUCUCUGUUACCAAGGUGACCCCAAGGAACACAGUAAAUGAAAUUUUAAGAAGAUAUAGCCUCUACACCAAGAGGCACAUGACACAACCUGGACUCUGGGCAAACCACCGGGUGCACUCACAUGAAGUGGCGGCUUAUUUGGCCUCCCCAGGACGGACUGGAGCAUCAGUAGUGCCUGAGUUCAUCAAAGGACAGAUGCUCAAGACACCUUGAUCACCAUUAGGUGGAAUUGAAGGAGCCAAAAAUGGGCGCAGUGGCUCCUCAGCAGAGACGCUCCUGAAUGUAUAGACAUGGGAACCACUUUCAGCAUCAAAAAAGGAAACGUUCUGCAUGCCCAUAUCCAGAAAAAUCCCCACUCGCUGUAACUUGCGGUCUACUAAGAGGAAAGUCAGCGGCACCGUGCUGGCAGAGAGGCGGCUUCCAUCCCUCAAACUCACAGUCCAGAAUCCAAGCUCUGUGGUCAGCUGGAUCUUCCCUUUGCAGUGAACAGAUUCUCUGCAGACUCCCAGGUCCCAUUCUGUGCUUGUUCCCACGUCCACCUCCCAGUAGUGGCGGCCACAGGUAAAGCGAGGGGAGCCCAGGAUGCAAACGGACACGUCAAAUCUCUCGGCAAGGUCUUGCCGAUUCUGUGUGAUGAGCCCACUUCGGACGCUCCUGAGGUCGUCAGAAAUGAGGAGGAAGUUGUUGGCUGUGUCGGCAUCCAAGGUCAUAUCCACUGUGAAAAGGAAAACAAGUUGCUCAGCAAGUGGACAGAAGCCAACCCCAUGCCUCUCUUCUACUUCAAAGGCCCAAAUAUCUCCUGACUUUAGUUUCUUUAAUUCUGUUUCUUCCUCCAAAAUCAAAACUUUUCAUGAGGAAACUUCCCUAUUUCAAAUUUUCAUAGGUAUGCUUUGUGGCAAUACGUGACUCUUAUUCACAGUAGCAAUUCUUAUUUUACUUUACGUCACGUGUUUGCUUCACUGAACUUUUCUUCAUUUAGAGUGGAGGGUCUCUGAAGGCAGACACCAUGCCCCCCUUUCUACCACCUUGAUGUGUGAACAAAUAAAUGAUAAUUAAGACAAAAAAAAAAAAAAAAAAAAAAAAAAAAAAA
This 1324-nucleotide long non-coding RNA is filed under the name Homo sapiens (human). Its description in RNAcentral is "RFPL3 antisense, transcript variant 1 (RFPL3S)". Lineage: Eukaryota; Metazoa; Chordata; Mammalia; Primates; Hominidae. The record is from RNAcentral.